AUGCCAGCUUACAGGCAACAUUGUAGGAACAAGAGCUCCAUCCUCCACGGUGGCCAUGUCUCUUGGUUUCAAAAAUGGAGAAAUGAAGAAACAAAAGGCAGAUUAGUGCUGACAUUUACUACUAAAGUCAUGGAUAAAGUAAAAAAUAGAAGCUCUUUAAAGUACACAGCCUUCUCGGGACAGCUGUCCUCUUCCCCUAGUCACCUCUCACUAGCACUCUGGCUCCCAGAGAGUCUGGCUUUAGCCCGGCUGCAGCUCCUCAGAACUGUUUGUAACUUACAGCUCUGGUUUGAAUUGCUUCGGAUUUGGCUUUUGCUAGUCAGACCUGGCUUCCCUUCCAUUUGCCCCUCUAAAUCUGGCCCCAUUUUCUUUAUUACAUUUGUUGCGCAUUCCUUUUGCAUUUUUAAUUGGAUUUUCCAAAACAAAACUCCCCACAGUUAAUUCUGUGGUCUGGUAAUGUAUUACAAAUAUUCUCAAAAUUGCAUCAUUAAAAGGGGCCUUUAAAGCUGAAACCUGUGUCGGUUACCAUGGUAAUGACUGACAACUACUUAGAACUGCCUGCUCAACCAAAAGAGGACAAGGCUGCCCCUGGCAGGAGAAGAUUAAAGGCCAACAACUAACGUCUACUGGGCAGGGUGAGCACCUGUAGAUUCCGAUGUGGGUUUCUCAAGUGCAAGUCAGAUACCCUCCUAUGAUGUAAAACAAAGCAAGUUGGUGCCAUGCUCCUGGGUUGUCUAUAAUAUAUAUAUUUUGGGAGACUUGGGGACUGGAAGUCCUGCUCACCGUCAGGUUAUGGAGAGGUAUUUCAAUUCAAGUUUUAUAGUUUAAUACUUAACUGACAUGCUCUUGAAUCAAAUGUUUACCUCUCUGAUCAUCAGGUUCUUUUCAUAUUUAAUAAAAUGAGCAAAGUACUGCCCGUGUUACCUAGAUAUGUGACUAUCAGGGAGACAGUUAAAGCAAAGCCUUUCUGUCAACCAAGUGCUAACACAUGAAGACUGAAGCCCAUGUUUAGAGUUUAUAACUCUUCUCUAGAAUGUCUUGUGGGUUGUCAUCAGUCCAUGUUUUUCUCAAAGAAGAGACAAUUCCUCCAAAAGACAGAAGUGUCAAAAUAACAUUGACUGCUUUCGACACCAGGAUUCCCAUGCUUUUGAUUAUUCACCAGGCCUAGAAACAAGUUAACAGUUGCUAUUAGACAUGGGUUAAAGUGCUACAAAUGUGGUUAUUAAGAAAAAUGUAUUUGAAAAAUAAUGAUUAUCAGAAAUACACAUUAGAUUCCUCAUCCCCUGUUUUCUUGAUGUUCUCAUUGCAAUUUUAUUUUAUUUUGCUUUCUAAGACAAGGUUUCACUAUGCAGUUGAGGCUGGCCUCGAAUUCACUUUGUAGCCCAGGCUGGACUCAAACUUGCAGUGGUCUUCCUGCCUCAG
Molecule: long non-coding RNA, 1422 nt
Filed under: Chinchilla lanigera (long-tailed chinchilla)
Lineage: Eukaryota; Metazoa; Chordata; Mammalia; Rodentia; Chinchillidae
Description: lncRNA (ENSCLAG00000027476.1)
Source: RNAcentral